CUCAGUGUCUGCGAAGUCCCCAUAGCACAGUGAAACACAAUCUGCCUGGAUAGAGAUCACACACAUACAGACACAGACACACACACACAGACACAGACACACACAGACAUAAAGGCACACAGAACCCCACCCAGACAGACACACACACACAGACACAGACACACACACACAAACACACAUACAAACACAGACACACACACAAACACACACUCACAAACACAGACACACACACACAAACACACAUACAAACACACACACACUCACAAACACAGAUACACACACACAAACACACAUACACAGAGACACACACACAGACACACGCAGACACACACACAGACACAGACACACAGACACACAGACACAGACACACACACACAGACAUAAAGGCACACAGAACCCCACCCAGACAGACAGACACACACAAACACAGACACACAGACACACACACAGACACACACACACAAACACACACACACAGACACACACACAAACACACACACACUCACAAACACAGACACACACACACAAACACACACACAAACACACAUACAAACACACACACACUCACAAACACAGACACACACACACAAACACACAUACACAGAGACACACACACACAGACACACACAGACACACACACAGACACACACACACAGACACACACACAGACACACACAGACAUAAAGGCACACAGAACCCCACCCAGACAGACACACACAUACAAACACAGACACAGACACACACACUCACAAACACACAUACAAACACAGACACACACACACAGACACACAGACACACACACAAACACACAGACACACACAUACAAACACAGACACACACACACAAACACACAUACACAGAGACACAGACACACAAACACACAUACAAACACAGACACACAGACACACACAUACAAACACACACACACACACACAGAUACACAGAACCCCCCCAGACAGACACACAUAUACAAACACAGGCACACAGGACCCCCCAGACACAAACACACACAUGGACACACAGAGACCCACACGCACACAAACACACAGACACCCCAGACAGACACAGACAUGCAAACACACACACACACACGCCCCUCAGAAGAUUCAUGACUCUCCAGCCAGGCUGAUGUCCACCUAAGGUGUGGCCAUGGCGGGGACAAAGC
This 1165-nucleotide long non-coding RNA is filed under the name Bos indicus x Bos taurus (hybrid cattle). RNAcentral's name for it is "lncRNA (ENSBIXG00005024412.1)". Lineage: Eukaryota; Metazoa; Chordata; Mammalia; Artiodactyla; Bovidae. The record is from RNAcentral.